CACAACCAAACAAGCUUUCUAUAAACACAUAGGUUUAUAUACAACACUGGAUGGUCUACAAAAUAGAUAGACUCAACAACUAGGGAACUGUCCUAUGACCAACUUGUCAGACACGUUCACCGAUUCUUCAGCCUCCACCUUCCGAACUCCAGGACUUCCGGUCCUCCACGACCGUCAUCUAGGGACCUGAAAUAUUAUCCCACAACCGGGAUGAGACUACGUCUCAGCGAGUCCUACCAUCUAAAACUCAAUUAGGGAGAAAAUACGCCUCAGGGCGCUCUAACCACACAAAUAGGAUAGCGGGCUUACGUCGCCUCAGUCCCUUUCAUGCACGUCAGUACAAUUCAUAUUCAAACAAUGCUCGCACAAGCUGAAUCUACCGACAUACCCAUCGGUCUAUCAAUUCAGUCAAUCCAAUUGAUAUCAUACGAUCCACAUAUCUAUCAAUUCAUAUCAUCUAUUAAACCAUACCAUCUAUUCAUCCAUCAAUACAAUUAUGGCUCGCACAAGCUGAAUUGGAUGCAAUGCUCUCACAAGCUGAUAUAGAUGGUAGCUCGCACAAGCUGAUAUAUGGAUCGUUGCUCUCACAAGCUGAUAAACGAUCAUUGCUCUCACAAGCUGAUAAAUGAUCAUUGCUCUCACAAGCUGACAUACAGUGCUCACACAAGCUGACAAUGAUGCUCACACAAUGUGAUACAUAUAUAAACCAAUUGCUCGCCAAAGCUGAUAAUUCAAUAAUAAACCAACUCAUACCUCAAUUCAAUCAAUCAAUCAAUUCAAUCGAUUCAAACUGGUCAUACAAACCAAUUACGGUGCUAAAAGCUAACACCGGGUAUUUUCAAGUUAAAUACCACAACUUCAUGAAUUUCACACAAUUCCACACUUUUGGAAUUAUUCACCAUAAUCAUCAAUCACUCAAUUUCUCAAUUUAAACAUACAACUAACACAAACCGACCGCACUGCUGCGAUCAGCGUGAAAUUCUAACGACCGGCCAUCCCGGCAUAAUUUUCGAAAUUAUUAAAUAAUUAAAUUUAAUUCCGAAAAUUAAAUAAUUAAAUAUUAUAUUAUAAUAAUAUAAAAUAAUAAAAUAAUAUUUAAAAAUUCGAAAUAAUUAUUUAAUUAAAAAUAAUCAAUUAGGGCUUAAAUUAGAUUACACUAAUUCAAACACACAAUUAGCCCUAAUUAAACAUCCAUUAAACUAAUCAUACAACUAAUCUAAUUUACAUUAAAAUAAUCUAAUUUAAUCACAUAAACCUAAUUAGACUAAUCUAAACACCCCUAAGCAUCAUUAACUCACUAAGCAAGAAUUAGAGGAUAAGCUCACCCGAUUAACGAUCCGAACGGCUCAAAACGACAAGGACGACGCGAGGGUCGAUAAUCUCCAAGGCGGGCCUAGCUUCCGGGGUCGGGAAGCCG
This 1417-nucleotide long non-coding RNA is filed under the name Eucalyptus grandis. Its description in RNAcentral is "long non-coding RNA (EGRA_LNC000854)". The record is from RNAcentral. Lineage: Eukaryota; Viridiplantae; Streptophyta; Magnoliopsida; Myrtales; Myrtaceae.